UGAGGGAUAUUGCACAAUGGGGGAAACCCUGAUGCAGCGACGCCGCGUGAGCGAUGAAGGCCUUCGGGUCGUAAAGCUCUUUUCUGUGUGACGAGCAAGGACGGUAGCACAGGAAUAAGUCUCGGCUAACUACGUG
RNAcentral lists this ribosomal RNA (136 nucleotides) under uncultured bacterium 4-1. RNAcentral's name for it is "partial 16S ribosomal RNA". It matches the Rfam family "Bacterial small subunit ribosomal RNA", at positions 355 to 507 of the family's 1533-position model. The record is from RNAcentral.